GGGAGAAGCAGAUGAAUGGAAGAGAGGGGGCAAAAGGGAGAGGGAGAGACAGACAGAUGAGAAUUCAGGCAACCGUAUGGGAGCCAGAAGCCUUGUAUCUCUACUGCUGGUUUGAGUUCCUGUGUAAAGGCUCAGCUGUCCUUUACUUCCCAUCCUUGGAUGCUGACUUUUUUUUAGCAAGCAUACCUUAGGAAACUGAACUUCGCUUGAAACUGAAACUACCCUCCCAAAAUCAUCUCCAAGGU
Molecule: long non-coding RNA, 245 nt
Filed under: Homo sapiens (human)
Lineage: Eukaryota; Metazoa; Chordata; Mammalia; Primates; Hominidae
Description: non-protein coding lnc-PLPP4-4:5
Source: RNAcentral